RNAcentral lists this unclassified non-coding RNA (350 nucleotides) under soil metagenome. RNAcentral describes it as "partial contains 5.8S ribosomal RNA, internal transcribed spacer 2, and large subunit ribosomal RNA". The stretch from base 1 to 120 matches the Rfam family "5.8S ribosomal RNA", at positions 35 to 154 of the family's 154-position model. The record is from RNAcentral.
GAUGAAGAACGCAGUGAACUGCGAUAAGUAAUGUGAAUUGCAGAAUUCAGUGAAUCAUCGAGUCUUUGAACGCACAUUGCGCCCCCUGGCAUUCCGGGGGGCAUGCCUGUCCGAGCGUCAUUGCUGCCCUUCAAGCCCGGCUUGUGUGUUGGGUCGUCGUCCCCCCCGGGGGACGGGCCCGAAAGGCAGCGGCGGCACCGCGUCCGGUCCUCGAGCGUAUGGGGCUUUGUCACCCGCUCGAUUAGGGCCGGCCGGGCGCCAGCCGGCGUCUCCAACCUUUUAUUUUACCAGGUUGACCUCGGAUCAGGUAGGGAUACCCGCUGAACUUAAGCAUAUCAAUAAGCGGAGGA